UCCCUGGUAGUAUAUCGGUUAGUACACGCGCCUGUCAUUUACAUGAAUGUCAUUGAGAAGACGCGCGAAAGCUGGGUUCGACUCCCAGCCAGGGAG
This is a non-coding RNA of Marasmius sp. AFHP31, 96 nucleotides long. The record is from the annotation of a GenBank genome assembly. Lineage: Eukaryota; Fungi; Basidiomycota; Agaricomycetes; Agaricales; Marasmiaceae.